This is a long non-coding RNA of Sciurus carolinensis (gray squirrel), 1085 nucleotides long. RefSeq lists it as uncharacterized. The record is from RefSeq and is a predicted model, not a curated record. The transcript is spliced from 4 exons. NCBI's taxonomy places the organism in Eukaryota, Metazoa, Chordata, Mammalia, Rodentia, Sciuridae.
CGCAGCGCCCGGCUGCCUGGCAGCACGCUCAGGGCCAGCGCCACCGCCAGCCCGUGCGUGGCCCACAUCCUCCUCCUCCUCCUCCUCCUCCUCCGCCGCCGCCGCCGCCGCCCGGACUGAACCGCACCCGCCGAGCUGCGCCGCUUUGGGGUACUUGCCGCACGCAGGAGCUUCCCAUUGGCGUGCAGCCCCCGCGCCCUCCCACACGCCACGUUCUCAUUGGGCCAUACGCCUUAGAGCCCAGACGGGCGGCUCCACGCUGCCCUUCCCCAUUGGCUGGUGGCGUCUGGGCCCUAGACAGUUGUCGGCCUCCGAUUGAACCCCAGCAGUGUACAGGAAGUGGCUGCAGCCGCCUCGGAAGCUGCAUGGGCCGCCAUAUUGGAUAGGGGCAGCCGCCUUUGCUGUUGCUGGGAGCCGCGGGCGGAAGUAGGAUCUCGUUGCUGCCCAGCAUCACACUGAGUUGUCCUGCAUUCCACUUGUCCUUGUUCCCUCGCCCGCCCGAGAAAUCCUGCGGCUCCUCCUGAUAGGAGCCGCACUCGUGGCGCAGUCACGUGGGCGAGGGAACCAACCUCUGGGAGUCUGCUGAGGCUCAAGCGUCCGCCUGCCCGCCCCACCUGACUGGAACCCGCUUUGUCCAGGGAGCUCUCUGCAUUUCCUCACAAGCUUCCGACGCAUGCUUGAGCACGCUGGCCCGCUUGCUUUCCAGCUGAGCCAUCAAGGCCCUUGGCUGUCGAGCUACUUCCCGAGUGGGGUCCCGGGGUCAACAGACAAGCACCAGAGGAUGUGUCCUCCUGGGCUGCCCUGCUUCCCAGGCUUGGCUACCUGUCCUUGAAGGUUACUUGCUGGCAUUUCUGUUAAACAAGUUGGCACUUGUUUCCAAGAGAAAAACACCCUGACCAUGGCUUUUUCUGUUUGAAAAGAGGGGCUGUGGAGAAUGAACGAGGACCUAAAACCCAGGGCCUGGUCAUGGAGGCUGGACAGGCCAGUAAAGAGGAACUGGGGUAACGUGCCUCAACAAGGAGAAGGCAGUCUUGUGACCAUCAUAAUAUGACUCAAGCAAAUGAAAGAGAAAGUUUUUUGUUUCA